Molecule: long non-coding RNA, 235 nt
Filed under: Elaeis guineensis (African oil palm)
Lineage: Eukaryota; Viridiplantae; Streptophyta; Magnoliopsida; Arecales; Arecaceae
Description: long non-coding RNA (EGUI_LNC009374)
Source: RNAcentral
UGUCCCUAGUUAGUAUAUUUACAUAUAUACAUUAAGUAUUAAAUGUAUAUUUUUAGCACAAUUAGCUUAUGAUAAAUAUUCGAUGAAUAGCUUUAGCAUGUUUAUCCAACUAUACAUAUGAUACACGUUUUUAACAGAUUUAGCUUUUAAUACAUACUCGAUGCAUAUCUUUAGCAUAAAAAAUGAUUGAUGUGUAGCUCUCCAGAGAAGUAUAAAUAUGAGUUUAGCUUAAGAG